AGAGUUUGAUCAUGGCUCAGGAUGAACGCUGGCGGUAUGCCUAACACAUGCAAGUCGAACGAUGUCUUCGGACAUAGUGGCGGACGGGUGAGUAACGCGUGAGAAUCUGCCUCUAGGAUGGGGAUAACGGUUGGAAACGACCGCUAACACCCAAUAUGCCGUAAGGUGAAAAAUUUAUUGCCUGGAGAGGAGCUCGCGUCUGAUUAGCUAGUUGGUGGGGUAAGAGCUCACCAAGGCUUCGAUCAGUAGCUGGUCUGAGAGGAUGAGCAGCCACACUGGGACUGAGACACGGCCCAGACUCCUACGGGAGGCAGCAGUGGGGAAUUUUCCGCAAUGGGCGAAAGCCUGACGGAGCAAUACCGCGUGAGGGAGGAAUGCCUUUGGGUUGUAAACCUCUUUUCUCAGGGAAGAAGAUCUGACGGUACCUGAGGAAUAAGUAUCGGCUAACUCCGUGCCAGCAGCCGCGGUAAUACGGAGGAUGCAAGCGUUAUCCGGAAUCAUUGGGCGUAAAGCGUCCGCAGGUGGUUUCCAAAGUCUGCUGUUAAAGACUGGAGCUCAACUCCGGAACGGCGGUGGAAACUUGGAAACUAGAGUUCGGUAGGGGUAGCAGGAAUUCCCAGUGUAGCGGUGAAAUGCGUAGAUAUUGGGAAGAACAUCGGUGGCGAANGCGUGCUACUGGACCGUAACUGACACUCAGGGACGAAAGCUAGGGGAGCGAAAGGGAUUAGAUACCCCUGUAGUCCUAGCUGUAAACGAUGGAAACUAGGUGUGGCUUGUAUCGACCCGA
RNAcentral lists this ribosomal RNA (787 nucleotides) under uncultured marine microorganism. RNAcentral's name for it is "bacterial SSU rRNA". It matches the Rfam family "Bacterial small subunit ribosomal RNA", at positions 8 to 839 of the family's 1533-position model. The record is from RNAcentral.